This 253-nucleotide ribosomal RNA is filed under the name uncultured bacterium. Its description in RNAcentral is "partial 16S ribosomal RNA". It matches the Rfam family "Bacterial small subunit ribosomal RNA", at positions 524 to 776 of the family's 1533-position model. The record is from RNAcentral.
UACAGAGGGGGCAAGCGUUAUUCGGAAUUAUUGGGCGUAAAGGGCGCGUAGGCGGCCUGGCAAGUGGAAGGUGAAAUCCCUCGGCUUAACCGAGGAACUGCCCUCCAAACUGCUUGGCUUGAGACCGGGAGAGGUGAGUGGAAUUCCCAGUGUAGCGGUGGAAUGCGCAGAUAUCAGGAGGAACACCGAUGGCGAAGGCAGAUCUCUGGGCCGUAACUGACGCUGAGGAGCGAAAGCGUGGGGAGCAAACAGG